Molecule: ribosomal RNA, 105 nt
Filed under: uncultured bacterium
Lineage: Bacteria
Description: partial 16S ribosomal RNA
Rfam family: Bacterial small subunit ribosomal RNA
Source: RNAcentral
CCUUGUACACACCGCCCGUCACACCAUGGGAGCUGACUCAACCAGAAGGCGGUCAGGCGAACCGUAAGGGCGCCUCCGACGAAGGUGGGGUUGGUGACUGGGGUG